Molecule: ribosomal RNA, 439 nt
Filed under: uncultured bacterium
Lineage: Bacteria
Description: bacterial SSU rRNA
Rfam family: Bacterial small subunit ribosomal RNA
Source: RNAcentral
AAGCUUGCUUCUUUGAUGACGAGUGGCGGACGGGUGAGUAAUGCUUGGGAAUCUAGCUUAUGGAGGGGGAUAACUACGGGAAACUGUAGCUAAUACCGCGUAAUAUCGAAAAGAUUAAAGUGUGGGACCUUCGGGCCACAUGCCAUAGGAUGAGCCCAAGUGGGAUUAGGUAGUUGGUGAGGUAAAGGCUCACCAAGCCGACGAUCUCUAGCUGGUCUGAGAGGAUGACCAGCCACACUGGGACUGAGACACGGCCCAGACUCCUACGGGAGGCAGCAGUGGGGAAUAUUGCGCAAUGGGGGCAACCCUGACGCAGUCAUGCCGCGUGAAUGAAGAAGGCCUUCGGGUUGUAAAGUUCUUUCGGUAGCGAGGAAGGCAUUUAGUUUAAUAGACUAGGUGAUUGACGUUAACUACAGAAGAAGCACCGGCUAACUCCGUG